CCAUGGCAAUUCCUAGCCAAUUCAUGUGCAAGCAUUAUACUAUUUGCAACUCUUAUACUAUAAAUGAAAGUAGAUUGACCAGGAGAAACUAGAUACUGCAAAAUAUUCCUAAGUCCGGCAACCAUGAUUCACAUUUGCUUGGGAAUAAUAGACAAAAUAGCGGAGUUCACUUGCCUCAGAAGCUUCUCAUGAUAAAACUCUUGAACAUCUGCCACCACAUCAGUCUUCACAAUCUCCCAAUACUUCUUAUAAAAG
RNAcentral lists this long non-coding RNA (255 nucleotides) under Ricinus communis (castor bean). Its description in RNAcentral is "long non-coding RNA (RCOM_LNC002174)". Lineage: Eukaryota; Viridiplantae; Streptophyta; Magnoliopsida; Malpighiales; Euphorbiaceae. The record is from RNAcentral.